This 470-nucleotide ribosomal RNA is filed under the name uncultured bacterium. Its description in RNAcentral is "bacterial SSU rRNA". It matches the Rfam family "Bacterial small subunit ribosomal RNA", at positions 328 to 795 of the family's 1533-position model. The record is from RNAcentral.
UUGCCAGACUCCUACGGGAGGCAGCAGUGAGGAAUAUUGGUCAAUGGGCGCUAACCUGAACCAGCCAAGUCGCGUGAGGGAGGACGGCCCUACGGGUUGUAAACCUCUUUUGCCGGGGAGCAACGGGCGUCACGUGUGGCGCCACUGAGAGUACCCGGAGAAAAAGCAUCGGCUAACUCCGUGCCAGCAGCCGCGGUAAUACGGAGGAUGCGAGCGUUAUCCGGAUUUAUUGGGUUUAAAGGGUGCGUAGGCGGGACGGUAAGUCAGCGGUAAAAAUGCGGAGCUCAACCCCGUCGAGCCGUUGAAACUGCCGUUCUUGAGUGAGCGAGAAGUAUGCGGAAUGCGUGGUGUAGCGGUGAAAUGCAUAGAUAUCACGCAGAACUCCGAUUGCGAAGGCAGCAUACCGGCGCUCAACUGACGCUGAAGCACGAAGGCGUGGGUAUCGAACAGGAUUAGAUACCCCGGUAGUA